This 467-nucleotide ribosomal RNA is filed under the name uncultured bacterium. Its description in RNAcentral is "bacterial SSU rRNA". It matches the Rfam family "Bacterial small subunit ribosomal RNA", at positions 328 to 793 of the family's 1533-position model. The record is from RNAcentral.
CGCCCAGACUCCUACGGGAGGCAGCAGUGAGGAGUAUUGGUCAAUGGGCGGGAGCCUGAACCAGCCAUGCCGCGUGAAGGCGAGUGCCCUACGGGCGUUAAACUUCUUUUGUGCGGGAGCAAUAAGGGCCACGUGUGGCCCGAUGAGAGUACCGCACGAAUAAGCCCCGGCUAACUACGUGCCAGCAGCCGCGGUAAUACGUAGGGGGCGAGCGUUAUCCGGAUUCACUGGGUGUAAAGGGAGCGUAGACGGCCAUGCAAGCCAGGGGUGAAAGCCCGGGGCCCAACCCCGGGACUGCCCUUGGAACUGCAUGGCUGGGGUGCGGGAGGGGCAGGCGGAAUUCCUGGUGUAGCGGUGAAAUGCGUAGAUAUUAGGAGGAACACCAGUGGCGAAGGCGGCUUACUGGACUGUAACUGACGUUGAGGCUCGAAAGCGUGGGGAGCAAACAGGAUUAGAUACCCGAGUAA